AUUUAAGUAGUUUAUAAAAAAUUUUGAUUUGUGGUAUCAAAGAAAUAAGUUAGUUAUCUUAAAUC
This 65-nucleotide transfer RNA is filed under the name Galerita orientalis. Its description in RNAcentral is "tRNA-His". The record is from RNAcentral. Lineage: Eukaryota; Metazoa; Arthropoda; Insecta; Coleoptera; Carabidae.